Molecule: ribosomal RNA, 1702 nt
Filed under: Glaucosoma buergeri (deepsea jewfish)
Lineage: Eukaryota; Metazoa; Chordata; Actinopteri; Acropomatiformes; Glaucosomatidae
Description: 16S ribosomal RNA
Rfam family: Bacterial large subunit ribosomal RNA
Source: RNAcentral
ACACUAAGCAGCUAGCCCACCCAAUCAAGACCAACAAACAGCUAUUAAUACCCCCAAAACCACUAUCUACUGAUUUAAACAAACCAUUUCUCCCCCCUAGUAUGGGCGACAGAAAAGGAUCUGAGGAGCGAUAGAGAAAGUACCGCAAGGGAACGCUGAAAGAGAAAUGAAAAAACCCAGUAAAGUCUAAAAAAGCAGAGAUUUUUGCUCGUACCUUUUGCAUCAUGAUUUAGCCAGUAAACCCAAGCAAAGAGGACUUUAGUUUGGCCCCCCGAAACUAAGUGAGCUACUCCAAGACAGCCUAAUAUAGGGCAAACCCGUCUCUGUGGCAAAAGAGUGGGAAGAGCUUUGAGUAGCGGUGACAGACCUAUCGAACUUAGUUAUAGCUGGUUGCCUGAGAAAUGGAUAGAAGUUCAGCCUCCCGGCUUCUUUAUUCACAUUGUACUAAUCUAUACAGACACUAUAAGAAACCAUGAGAGUUAGUCAAAGGAGGUACAGCUCCUUUGAAUUAAGAUACAACUUUUUCAGGAGGGUAAAGAUCAUAUUAGAACCCAAAGGUUUAAUGUUUUAGUGGGCCUAAAAGCAGCCAUCCAAACAGAAAGCGUUAAAGCUCAGACAUACUACUCACCCUAUUAUCACGAUAGCCCAGUCUUAGCCCCCUACCCCUACCAGGCCGUUCCAUACAGAUAUGGAAGCGAACAUGCUAAUAUGAGUAAUAAGAGAGAAUAGGAUGACUCUCUCCCUGCACACGUGUAUAUCGAAUCGGACACCCCACCGAACCUUAACGGUCCCAAUUAAAGAGGGAACUGAACCAAAAAUCGACAUAACUAGAAAACCAUCCAACACCUAACCGUUAACCCCACACAGGUGUGCUUGUAGGGAAAGACUAAAAGAAAAAGAAGGAACUCGGCAAACAUAUAAAGCCUCGCCUGUUUACCAAAAACAUCGCCUCUUGCAAAACUGAUGAAUAAGAGGUCCCGCCUGCCCUGUGACUCUAAGUUUAACGGCCGCGGUAUUUUGACCGUGCGAAGGUAGCGUAAUCACUUGUCUCUUAAAUGGGGACCUGUAUGAAUGGCAUAACGAGGGCUUAACUGUCUCCUUUUUCAGGUCAAUGAAAUUGAUCUCCCCGUGCAGAAGCGGGGAUAAACACAUAAGACGAGAAGACCCUAUGGAGCUUUAGACACUAAGGCAGAUCAUGUUAAACACCCCAUAAUAAAGGAAAUAAACCAAAUGAUCCCUCUGCCCUAAUGUCUUCGGUUGGGGCGACCACGGAGAAGCACAAAACCCCCGUGCAGAACGAAAGCACUGCUUUCACAACUAAGAGCUCCCGCUCUAAUAAACAGAAAUUCUGACUAUAUGAUCCGGCAACGCCGAUCAACGAACCAAGUUACCCUAGGGAUAACAGCGCAAUCCUCUUUUAGAGUCCAUAUCGACAAGAGGGUUUACGACCUCGAUGUUGGAUCAGGACAUCCUAAUGGUGCAGCCGCUAUUAAGGGUUCGUUUGUUCAACGAUUAAUAGUCCUACGUGAUCUGAGUUCAGACCGGAGUAAUCCAGGUCAGUUUCUAUCUAUGACGUGAUCUUUUCUAGUACGAAAGGACCGAAAAGAAGAGGCCUAUGCCCACAGUACGCCUCCCCCUUACCUGAUGAAAACAACUAAAACAGGCAAAAGGACACAUCUUUACCCGCCAAAGAUAAUGGCAU